RNAcentral lists this ribosomal RNA (490 nucleotides) under uncultured bacterium. RNAcentral's name for it is "bacterial SSU rRNA". It matches the Rfam family "Bacterial small subunit ribosomal RNA", at positions 29 to 496 of the family's 1533-position model. The record is from RNAcentral.
AACGAACGCUGGCGGCGUGCCUAACACAUGCAAGUCGAGCGAGAAAGCCCGCAAGGGUGAGUAAAGCGGCGCACGGGUGCGUAACACGUGGGUAAUCUGCCCUAGAGUCCGGAAUAACUCGCCGAAAGGCGUGCUAAUGCCGGAUGAGACCACGGGAGCCUCGGCUCCUGCGGGAAAAGGUGGCCUCUGUAUACAAGCUAUCGCUCUAGGAUGAGCCCGCGGCCCAUCAGCUCGUUGGCGGGGUAAUGGCCCACCAAGGCUACGACGGGUAGCUGGUCUGAGAGGACGAUCAGCCACACUGGAACUGAGACACGGUCCAGACUCCUACGGGAGGCAGCAGUGGGGAAUCUUGCGCAAUGGGCGAAAGCCUGACGCAGCAACGCCGCGUGUGUGAUGAAGGUCUUCGGAUCGUAAAGCACUGUCGCGAGGGACGAAUAAGGGGCGGGCUAACAUCCCGUUCCGAUGACGGUACCUCGAGAGGAAGCACCGG